Molecule: RNA transcript, 3592 nt
Organism: Manis pentadactyla (Chinese pangolin)
Lineage: Eukaryota; Metazoa; Chordata; Mammalia; Pholidota; Manidae
Gene: C15H16orf95
Gene name: chromosome 15 C16orf95 homolog
Exons: 8
Source: RefSeq, a predicted model, not a curated record
GUGGGGUGGGGAUGGUGAUGAGCUAUUCUUAACAUGAAACAGCAAGACAGUGUCCAGUGGUAGGGGCCAGCGCUUCCAGGGGACAGGGAAGCCAAGAGUGCUCCAAGGCAGGCAGAGACAAGACAGCUGUAAGUGAAGUGCCAGGCUCACGGCGAGAUUCCUGGAUGAUUUUGUCAUUAGCUGUAAGGGACCUGUGACAAAAACUAUACACACACACAUUCAGAGAGAGAGAUGUUUGAAACAUCUGGCAGGCGAUAGGGUAGCGGCUCUGCCCAGUGAGCACCGUUAGGCAAGGAAGACAUGCCCGUGUGUCCUGGCUCCAAGCUCAGCCUGCGUGCUAAGGUCCUGACCUCAGGGGUUAGAUAUCAGAGCCAAGAAACCUGAGCAGUGCCCGGGAGCACCUUGUUUGCUACAGUUCCUUAGGAUGGGCUGGGCAAAUAAAGACAUCGAGAGUAUAAAGUCAGCAUGAAAAUACUGAAAAGUGGGGAGAAACUCCUUUCCAAGAAAUACAAAUUGGGAGUCUGUGAUAAGCUAAAGCAACAUAGACAGAAAGCAAAGACAUACAUCCUGCCUUUAGUUCAGCAACCGCCCAGAGUACUGAGCACGGGAGGAGGGCGGUGAAGGGGAGACUAAGGCUGAAAAAACAAGCAGGAUGUUCCAAAUUCCACCGCCUUUUAAACCCCAGCUUGCUCGAGAAAUACCUAUUUUUCUAAGUCACAACUUGAGCCCAUAGGGCUGCCAGAUUGAGCAAGGGAAGCGCGCAGUUAAACCUGCAUUUCAGAAAAACGAGCUACUUUAAGUGCAAGGAUGUCCCAAGUACCGCGUGGGACCUACUCGUACUGAGCUGCUUCGCGGUGCCCCGAGACCAGCCUCGGCCGGUGCCCGCGCACCCCGACCGACCGGAAGGCGGGGGCGCGGCUCGCACCUCAACUCUCCUUCCAGGGAACAGAGACCCCCGCUGGGGCGCCCCACAGGCCCCUCCAACGGAAAUGGUGAGUGGGCGUUCCCGGCUCCGAGUAGGUGGGCUUCGGGAACAACCCAGGGACCGUAGGAUAUUCCUUGCGCGGUGCCUGACCUCCACUCCGCCAGGCCCACCGCGCUGACCCGUCAACCCGCCGACCCUGGGGCCCUACCAUCGGGGACCCGUCAACUGCCAGAUAAGUGCACAUGCCUAGAAGGCGAUUGCUUAUUGGCUGUGUGCGUGCCAAUCAGCGGGGCGAGGGUGUCCGCAAAGGCCGGAAGGGGCGUGUCCCGUGCGGGCGGAAGGGGUGGCCUCGGACAGCGGCCGGCUGGCGGCGAGGGUGAGGCCGCUCGCGGGAGAGGCGGCGCGCAGUGGGCAGUCCUCGCGCUCUUCAUCUUCGCGAUGGUCUCCGUCUCCUGCGUUUGGUCGCGGCCGGGCGGAGCUGCGGCGCCCUCUGCCGCUCGCCCUGCGGCGGCCGCUCGCCCUGUCGGCACGCACUCGCCCGGAGCGCGGCGGGACGGGCCAACGCGCGCCCGCGUGCUGCCCGUAGGGCCCGUCGCCCGGCCGUGGCGGCCGGGAGCCCGCGCCUGCACAGCCGCCAGCGCCCAGGCAGUUCCCCGUCCCACCGCGAGCCUCAGUGCUGCGUCUUCAGGCUCGGCCGCACCCACGUGCGCAAGGACCGCGGCCCGGAACCCGGCCUCUCAGCCCCGCUCUCCUGGGCGCUGGCGUCCCUCCUGUAGAGAGCAUGACCGCCGAGACCGUCACCGCCACGGGAAAAGCGAUUCUCUUUCCCGGAGAUAUUAGCACGAAGGAGUUUAACCCAGAGUGCGUUUCCCUGGGGGACCCCGGGUGACACCGUGCGGAGCCGGUCCCUGCGCCACUGGCCUCGCCUGCACGGCUGGAAGUGGGUCCGGCCCACCUGCAGUCACGACCCCAGCGGGGUGGCCCCUGGGAGGGCCGUGCUGUCCCUACCAGCUGCGCAAGGCACCAACCACCCCGCUUCUCUGUUUUCAAGUGCAGCUGGCCGAGCUGAGCUUGGUGACCUGAAGAUACUGUGUAAGGAAACAGCGAUGAUGUUUAACGAAACACAGAAACACUGUGUCACUUGUAUCACUUUGUGGUGCCCAUGUUACAAAACACUGACAGGUCACUGUCCCAGACACCCGGCUUUGUUUUGUGUUGGAUUUAUGCGCCCUGGAGACUAUAUGGCCAACAUCCUAGCGUUUGUUGGGAGAAUGGGGAAGACUAACACAAGAGUCUGUGUAGCCCCAAAUGAUUCUCAUCCCAGAAUCAAAGUAUCCACGAUUUUAUGCUGGAAGGAGUUUCAGUAAAUGUACACUUUCGACAAUGUUUCCUUCAGUUUUGAAGACACAUUUCAAACCUUUGGGAAAGAAGUGUGUCUCACAGAUCAUUUGGCUCCCGCUCAGAUGUGUCCUGUCCCCGGCACCGCUCAUGAGGAGCCCGUCUGCUGUGCACGCCAGAUCAAAUUCGGGGGCUGCCUGCCAGGGCCCAGGGCUGAGGCAGUGCUGCCGUACUGGGUCCCUCUGUCCCUGAGACCCCGGAAGCAGAUACAAAAGAUGGUCUGGUCUUAUACCCUCCAAAGCACUGUGGCCUGCCCCUGCCCCUGCCACCGCUUUGGGGGCCGCCUCUCGAUGCCUAGGAAUCAGGCUGUGAUGCCGCACUGGGUGCCCCAGGUCCUGAGGUCUCACAAGAAGGUGAAAAGGCAGCAGAGUUUUAAAGACAGCCAGGAAGCGGCUCUGGGUGCGCGGCCCUGGCACCGGUGCUGGCGGGUCUGCUGCAGUAGCCAGCGCCUCCUCAGGUGGCAGCGGCUCACACUCCAGGUCCUGCACCAGGGCGAGCCGCCGGGCCCGCGCCUGUCGCUCAGCCUCCGUCUGCAGACCCUCCUCCAGACAGUCCUGAGGGCCCUGGCGGCCUUCUGGUGAGCAGCUUGCUGUCAGAUUUAGUUGGACUUCCCUGUACCUGCUCUCUGGAGAGCAGAGAAGGUCCUGACUGUAGGUGCUGCAUGUGAAUGGCUGGGGUGGGCCGAAAGGACAGGUGUUUGCUUCUGAGCCAGGCUCCCAGGGCAGAGCUAGUUAUUUUGGGUUUAAAGUUGACAUCUUCAGCUACGAUCAAGAAUAUCAGCAAAAAUGUCAGUCAUAAUAAACGUCUUUAAUGAACAUCACCAAGUCAGGAGUCUGUGACAGCCACUAUUUUCUCAGAUCAUAUGAUUCACACCCAAGGUUCAAGCCAAAUUAUUUAUCAUCAGGUGAUUUUAGUUGCUGUGAAUGCGGGCGGUAAAAAUGGGGUCAAUAAAUAUUAUUUGUGAAACUCUCCACAGCAACUUUCAAACGAUAACGUCUGGUUUUCCUUUGUGAGGGAGGGCCUCUGCGUUCCUGCCUCCUGUCGCUGUGGGAGGGGUCCGUCUCCGAGUUUCUCCUCACUGCUGGGGCAGCAUACCCACUGGGCAGAGGUCCCCACCCUAUCUCAGCACCUGUUUCGGGUGGGUCUCACUGUAGGUGGCAUAAAAUUGUGUGUGAAUUGAAUUCUUUUAAACUGAGGUAUCAAUCACAUACUGUAAACCUCAGCUUUUAAAAGUAUAUGAUCCUGUGAUUUUUGCAAGGUUGUGCGACU